GACGAACGCUGGCGGCGUGCUUAACACAUGCAAGUCGAACGGAAAGGCCCUGCUUUUGUGGGGUGCUCGAGUGGCGAACGGGUGAGUAACACGUGAGUAACCUACCCUUGACUUUGGGAUAACUUCAGGAAACUGGGGCUAAUACCGGAUAGGAGCUCCUGCUGCAUGGUGGGGGUUGGAAAGUUUCGGCGGUUGGGGAUGGACUCGCGGCUUAUCAGCUUGUUGGUGGGGUAGUGGCUUACCAAGGCUUUGACGGGUAGCCGGCCUGAGAGGGUGACCGGCGACAUUGGGACUGCGAUACGGCCCAGACUCCUACGGGAGGCAGCAGUGGGGAAUAUUGCACAAUGGGCGGAAGCCUGAGGCAGCAACGCCGCGUGCGGGAUGACGGCCUUCGGGUUGUGAACCGCUUUCGCCUGUGACGAAGCGUGAGUGACGGUAAUGGGUAAAGAAGCACCGGCUAACUACGUG
This 468-nucleotide ribosomal RNA is filed under the name uncultured bacterium. RNAcentral's name for it is "partial 16S ribosomal RNA". It matches the Rfam family "Bacterial small subunit ribosomal RNA", at positions 28 to 507 of the family's 1533-position model. The record is from RNAcentral.